Molecule: ribosomal RNA, 494 nt
Filed under: uncultured bacterium
Lineage: Bacteria
Description: partial 16S ribosomal RNA
Rfam family: Bacterial small subunit ribosomal RNA
Source: RNAcentral
GACGAACGCUGGCGGCGUGCUUAACACAUGCAAGUCGAACGGUGAAGCGCCUUCCUUUUUGGUGGGUGUGGAUGAGUGGCGAACGGGUGAGUAACACGUGAGUAACCUGCCCCCUUCUUCUGGAUAACCGCAUGAAAGUGUGGCUAAUACGGGAUAUUCUGGGUCUGUCGCAUGAUGGGUCUGGGAAAGAUAUUGUUUCGGUGGGGGAUGGGCUCGCGGCCUAUCAGCUUGUUGGUGGGGUGAUGGCCUACCAAGGCGGUGACGGGUAGCCGGCCUGAGAGGGUGGACGGUCACACUGGGACUGAGACACGGACCAGACUCCUACGGGAGGCAGCAGGGGGGAAUAUUGCACAAUGGGCGCAAGCCUGAUGCAGCGACGCCGCGUGAGGGAUGGAGGCCUUCGGGUUGUGAACCUCUUUCGCCAGUGAAGCAGGCCUGCCUCGUUUGUGGGUGGGUUGACGGUAGCUGGAUAAGAAGCGCCGGCUAACUACGUG